GAACUCUGUCUUUGCUGAGAGGUGGCUGGUUUGUUUGUUUGAUAAGACUCCUGAAAGUGCUAAAGUAGAGGAAGCUUUCAGCUAAAGGAAAUGACUGUGAGAAGAGAGACUCUUUGGAGAGGAAGGGAGACUAUUCUGCCCUUGGAGCUAUUGAACAUGCUAUUGGGAAAGCAGCUUCCAGAGCAGAGCACAAGGGCAGACAGGCAGGGGAGCCCACCAACAGGAGGGUCAGUGGCACAGUGGAGACUGCUGAGAAGAAACAGGGAACGGACAACCUGCCAAAAGUGCAAGGUGGCAGAGAGACUUUUCCUGGUGCAUAGAGGGGACCGUACAGUCUGCGAAAACCCAGAAAAUGACCGAGUUGGAUUUAAACCAAGCCUAAGACGAUUUAUCCACCAAAAACACAAUACUCACUUGUGCUAAAAUGAGGUGGUCAGAGAGCACCCUGGGAAGCCUGGCAUUCUUCAAGGGGUUUCACCUGCAGCAAAACCUGACUCCUGGCAGAAACUCACGCUUGCAGGACUGAAACCACCGGUGGUGGGGCUUCAGCCUCUCCUCUGCCUUGUGUAACAUGUUCGUCCUGAGAGGCCUCUGUGGAAAAGCCCUUCUUGGCAUGGAGCCCACGCUAUCAGCAUCUGUCUUCCCAAAAGGUACAAAAUUGCUUCAGUGCUAUGGAAAAU
Gymnogyps californianus (California condor) is the source of this 680-nucleotide long non-coding RNA. RefSeq lists it as uncharacterized. The transcript is spliced from 3 exons. The record is from RefSeq and is a predicted model, not a curated record. Lineage: Eukaryota; Metazoa; Chordata; Aves; Accipitriformes; Cathartidae.